UUAAGUUAUUAAGGGCGCACGGUGGAUGCCUUGGCACUAGAAGCCGACGAAGGACGUUACUAACGACGAUAUGCUUUGGGGAGCUGUAAGUAAGCUUUGAUCCAGAGAUUUCCGAAUGGGGAAACCCAGCACGAGUUAUGUCGUGUUAUCGAUAUGUGAAUACAUAGCAUAUCUGAAGGCAGACGCGGAGAACUGAAACAUCUUAGUACCCGCAGGAAGAGAAAGAAAAAUCGAUUCCCUGAGUAGCGGCGAGCGAAACGGGAAGAGCCCAAACCAAUGAGCUUGCUUGUUGGGGUUGUAGGACACUCUAUACGGAGUUACAAAAGAACAGACUAGACGAAUCAUCUGGAAAGAUGAAUCAAAGAAGGUAAUAAUCCUGUAGUCGAAAGUUUGUUCACUCUUGAGUGGAUCCUGAGUACGACGGAACACGAGAAAUUCCGUCGGAAUCUGGGAGGACCAUCUCCCAAGGCUAAAUACUCUCUAGUGACCGAUAGUGAACCAGUACCGUGAGGGAAAGGUGAAAAGUACCCCGGAAGGGGAGUGAAAUAGAACUUGAAACCGUGUGCUUACAAGUAGUCAGAGCCCGUUAAUGGGUGAUGGCGUGCCUUUUGUAGAAUGAACCGGCGAGUUACGAUUUGAUGCAAGGUUAAGCAGUGAAUGUGGAGCCGUAGCGAAAGCGAGUCUGAAUAGGGCGUUGAGUAUUUGGUCGUAGACCCGAAACCAGGUGAUCUACCCAUGACCAGGUUGAAGUUCAGGUAACACUGAAUGGAGGACCGAACCGACUUACGUUGAAAAGUGAGCGGAUGAGUUGUGGGUAGCGGAGAAAUUCCAAUCGAACCUGGAGAUAGCUGGUUCUCUCCGAAAUAGCUUUAGGGCUAGCCUCAAGUGAUGAUUAUUGGAGGUAGAGCACUGUUUGGACGAGGGGCCCUUAUCGGGUUACCGAAUUCAGACAAACUCCGAAUGCCAAUCAAUUUAACUUGGGAGUCAGAACGCGGGUGAUAAGGUCCGUGUUCGAAAGGGAAACAGCCCAGACCACCAGCUAAGGUCCCAAAAUAUAUGUUAAGUGGAAAAGGAUGUGGCGUUGCCCAGACAACUAGGAUGUUGGCUUAGAAGCAGCCAUCAUUUAAAGAGUGCGUAAUAGCUCACUAGUCGAGUGACACUGCGCCGAAAAUGUACCGGGGCUAAACAUAUUACCGAAGCUGUGGAUUGUCCGUAAGGACAAUGGUAGGAGAGCGUUCUAAGGGCGUUGAAGCAUGAUCGCAAGGACAUGUGGAGCGCUUAGAAGUGAGAAUGCCGGUGUGAGUAGCGAAAGACGGGUGAGAAUCCCGUCCACCGAUUGACUAAGGUUUCCAGAGGAAGGCUCGUCCGCUCUGGGUUAGUCGGGUCCUAAGCUGAGGCCGAUAGGCGUAGGCGAUGGAUAACAGGUUGAUAUUCCUGUACCACCAUUAUUCGUUUUAAGCGAUGGGGGGACGCAGUAGGAUAGGCGAAGCGUACGAUUGGAUUGUACGUCCAAGCAGUGAGAUUGAGUGUUAGGCAAAUCCGGCACUCUUAAGAUUGAGCUGUGAUGGGGAGAGGAAAUUGUUUCCUCGAGUCGUUGAUUUCACACUGCCAAGAAAAGCCUCUAGCUAGAAUUGUGGUGCCCGUACCGCAAACCGACACAGGUAGUCAAGAUGAGAAUUCUAAGGUGAGCGAGCGAACUCUCGUUAAGGAACUCGGCAAAAUGACCCCGUAACUUCGGGAGAAGGGGUGCUCUUUAGGGUUAACGCCCAGGAGAGCCGCAGUGAAUAGGCCCAAGCGACUGUUUAUCAAAAACACAGGUCUCUGCUAAACCGUAAGGUGAUGUAUAGGGGCUGACGCCUGCCCGGUGCUGGAAGGUUAAGAGGAGUGGUUAGCUUCUGCGAAGCUACGAAUCGAAGCCCCAGUAAACGGCGGCCGUAACUAUAACGGUCCUAAGGUAGCGAAAUUCCUUGUCGGGUAAGUUCCGACCCGCACGAAAGGCGUAACGAUUUGGGCACUGUCUCAACGAGAGACUCGGUGAAAUCAUAGUACCUGUGAAGAUGCAGGUUACCCGCGACAGGACGGAAAGACCCCGUGGAGCUUUACUGUAGUCUGAUAUUGAAAUUCGGCACAGCUUGUACAGGAUAGGUAGGAGCCUGAGAUACGUGAGCGCUAGCUUACGUGGAGGCGUUGGUGGGAUACUACCCUCGCUGUGUUGGAUUUCUAACCCGCACCAUUUAUCAUGGUGGGAGACAGUGUCAGAUGGGCAGUUUGACUGGGGCGGUCGCCUCCUAAAGAGUAACGGAGGCGCUCAAAGGUUUCCUCAGAAUGGUUGGAAAUCAUUCAUAGAGUGUAAAGGCAUAAGGAAGCUUGACUGCGAGACUUACAAGUCGAGCAGGGUCGAAAGACGGACUUAGUGAUCCGGUGGUUCCGCAUGGAAGGGCCAUCGCUCAACGGAUAAAAGCUACCCCGGGGAUAACAGGCUUAUCUCCCCCAAGAGUUCACAUCGACGGGGAGGUUUGGCACCUCGAUGUCGGCUCAUCGCAUCCUGGGGCUGUAGUCGGUCCCAAGGGUUGGGCUGUUCGCCCAUUAAAGCGGUACGCGAGCUGGGUUCAGAACGUCGUGAGACAGUUCGGUCCCUAUCCGUCGUGGGCGUAGGAAAUUUGAGAGGAGCUGUCCUUAGUACGAGAGGACCGGGAUGGACAUACCUCUGGUGUACCAGUUGUCGUGCCAACGGCAUCGCUGGGUAGCUAUGUAUGGACGGGAUAAGUGCUGAAAGCAUCUAAGCAUGAAGCCCCCCUCAAGAUGAGAUUUCCCAACUUCGGUUAUAAGAUCCCUCAAAGAUGAUGAGGUUAAUAGGUUCGAGGUGGAAGCAUAGCGAUAUGUGCAGCUGACGAAUACUAAUCGAUCGAAGACUUAAUCAA
Molecule: ribosomal RNA, 2921 nt
Filed under: Staphylococcus saprophyticus
Lineage: Bacteria; Bacillati; Bacillota; Bacilli; Caryophanales; Staphylococcaceae
Also listed under: 1 other name
Description: bacterial LSU rRNA
Rfam family: Bacterial large subunit ribosomal RNA
Source: RNAcentral